UACGUAGGGUGCAAGCGUUGUCCGGAAUUAUUGGGCGUAAAGAGCUCGUAGGCGGCUUGUCGCGUCGGCUGUGAAAACCUGGGGCUCAACCCCGGGCCUGCAGCCGAUACGGGCAAGCUAGAAUUCGGUAGGGGAGACUGGAAUUCCUGGUGUAGCGGUGAAAUGCGCAGAUAUCAGGAGGAACACCGGUAGCGAAGGCGGGUCUCUGGGCCGAUAUUGACGCUGAGGAGCGAAAGCGUGGGGAGCGAACAGG
Molecule: ribosomal RNA, 253 nt
Filed under: uncultured bacterium
Lineage: Bacteria
Description: partial 16S ribosomal RNA
Rfam family: Bacterial small subunit ribosomal RNA
Source: RNAcentral